Molecule: ribosomal RNA, 497 nt
Filed under: uncultured bacterium
Lineage: Bacteria
Description: partial 16S ribosomal RNA
Rfam family: Bacterial small subunit ribosomal RNA
Source: RNAcentral
GAUGAACGCUGGCGGCGUGCCUAAUACAUGCAAGUCGAGCGAACAGACGAGGAGCUUGCUCCUCUGACGUUAGCGGCGGACGGGUGAGUAACACGUGGAUAACCUACCUAUAAGACUGGGAUAACUUCGGGAAACCGGAGCUAAUACCGGAUAAUAUAUUGAACCGCAUGGUUCAAUAGUGAAAGACGGUUUUGCUGUCACUUAUAGAUGGAUCCGCGCUGCAUUAGCUAGUUGGUAAGGUAACGGCUUACCAAGGCAACGAUGCGUAGCCGACCUGAGAGGGUGAUCGGCCACACUGGAACUGAGACACGGUCCAGACUCCUACGGGAGGCAGCAGUAGGGAAUCUUCCGCAAUGGGCGAAAGCCUGACGGAGCAACGCCGCGUGAGUGAUGAAGGUCUUCGGAUCGUAAAACUCUGUUAUUAGGGAAGAACAAAUGUGUAAGUAACUAUGCACGUCUUGACGGUACCUAAUCAGAAAGCCACGGCCAACUACGUG